ACGGAAGGCAGCAGUGGGGAAUAUUGGGCAAUGGGCGAAAGCCUGACCCAGCAACGCCGCGUGAAGGAAGAAGGUCUUCGGAUUGUAAACUUCUUUUAUGAGGGACGAAGGACGUGACGGUACCUCAUGAAUAAGCCACGGCUAACUACGUGCCAGCAGCCGCGGUAAUACGUAGGUGGCGAGCGUUAUCCGGAUUUACUGGGUGUAAAGGGCGCGUAGGCGGGGAUGCAAGUCAGAUGUGAAAUCUAUGGGCUCAACCCGUGAACUGCAUUUGAAACUGUCGUUCUUGAGUAUCGGAGAGGCAAGCGGAAUUCCUAGUGUAGCGGUGAAAUGCGUAGAUAUUAGGAGGAACACCAGUGGCGAAGGCGGCUUGCUGGACGACAACUGACGCUGAGGCGCGAAAGCGUGGGGAGCAAACAGGAUUAGAUACCCUGGUA
Molecule: ribosomal RNA, 437 nt
Filed under: uncultured Oscillospiraceae bacterium
Lineage: Bacteria; Bacillati; Bacillota; Clostridia; Eubacteriales; Oscillospiraceae
Description: partial 16S ribosomal RNA
Rfam family: Bacterial small subunit ribosomal RNA
Source: RNAcentral